Molecule: ribosomal RNA, 253 nt
Filed under: uncultured bacterium
Lineage: Bacteria
Description: partial 16S ribosomal RNA
Rfam family: Bacterial small subunit ribosomal RNA
Source: RNAcentral
UACGGAGGGUGCAAGCGUUAAUCGGAAUUACUGGGCGUAAAGCGCACGCAGGUGGCUGAGUCAGUCGAUUGUGAAAGCCCUGGGCUUAACCUGGGAAUUGCAGUCGAUACUACUCGGCUCGAGUAUGGGAGAGGGCAGUGGAAUUCCCGGUGUAGCGGUGAAAUGCGUAGAGAUCGGGAGGAACACCAGAGGCGAAAGCGGCGACCUGGACAGAUACUGACACUCAACUGCGAAAGCGUGGGGAGCAAACAGG